RNAcentral lists this long non-coding RNA (240 nucleotides) under Elaeis guineensis (African oil palm). RNAcentral's name for it is "long non-coding RNA (EGUI_LNC043785)". The record is from RNAcentral. Lineage: Eukaryota; Viridiplantae; Streptophyta; Magnoliopsida; Arecales; Arecaceae.
AAUCCACCAUCUCUAUGUCAAAACCACAUGAGGAAAAUAAAUGUGGCAUCAUUUACUUGGGCGUUUAAGAGAGGAGUCCUUCUCUUCCACUCCUCUUAAUUUUCUUACAUGCUUCCAUACAUUUUCUUUAAUUCCUCAUGACAUAUGAUGGUCUUGGGAUAUGGGAUGUGGAAGAGGAGGAAGAGUCCUCUUGAAAGGAAUUUGAAUACCAAAUAAUAAAUGGGACGCCAUAUAUUUGCG